RNAcentral lists this ribosomal RNA (718 nucleotides) under uncultured Bacillota bacterium. RNAcentral describes it as "bacterial SSU rRNA". It matches the Rfam family "Bacterial small subunit ribosomal RNA", at positions 63 to 793 of the family's 1533-position model. Lineage: Bacteria; Bacillati; Bacillota. The record is from RNAcentral.
CGAGCGAAGAGUUAUGAAUUUAUUCAUAACAACUUAGCGGCGGACGGGUGAGUAACACGUGAACAACCUGCCCUUUAGACCGGGAUAACAGUGGGAAACUGCUGCUAAUACCGGACGGAGUUUAGACGCAGCAUUGCGACUAAAUGAAAGGCUUUGUGCUAAAGGAUGGGUUCGCGUUCCAUUAGCUAGUUGGUGGGGUAACGGCCUACCAAGGCGAUGAUGGAUAGCCGACCUGAGAGGGUGACCGGCCACAUAGGAACUGAGACACGGUCCUAACUCCUACGGGGGGCAGCAGUCGGGGAUAUUGCACAAUGGAGGAAACUCUGAUGCAGCGACGCCGCGUGAGCGAAGAAGGUCUUCGGAUCGUAAAGCUCUGAUGCGAGAGAUGAAGGAAGUGACAGUAUCUCGCCAGCAAGCACCGGCUAACUACGUGCCAGCAGCCGCGGUAAUACGUAGGGUGCAAGCGUUGUCCGGAAUUACUGGGCGUAAAGGGAGCGCAGGUGGUUAUUUAAGUCAAUAGUAAAAGGCAUGGGCUUAACCCAUGUAAGCUAGUGAAACUAAAUAACUUGAGUAUGGUAGAGGUAAGCGGAAUUCCUAGUGUAGCGGUGAAAUGCGUAGAUAUUAGGAGGAACACCAGUGGCGAAGGCGGCUUACUGGGCCAUAACUGACACUGAGGCUCGAAAGCGUGGGGAGCAAACAGGAUUAGAUACCCUGGUAG